UACCAGCAGCCCAAGUGGUGGUCGCGAUUAUUGGGCCUAAAGCGCUCGUAGCCGGGUCGGCAAGUCCCUUGUGAAAUCGGGCGGCUCAACCGUUCGGCAUGCAAGGGAUACUGCUGGCCUUGGGACCGGGAGACGCCGUGGGUACUUCGGGGGUAGCGGUGAAAUGCUGUAAUCCCCGGGGGACUACCAGUGGCGAAGGCGCUCGGCGAGAACGGGUCCGACGGUGAGGG
Molecule: ribosomal RNA, 230 nt
Filed under: uncultured microorganism
Description: partial 16S ribosomal RNA
Rfam family: Archaeal small subunit ribosomal RNA
Source: RNAcentral